Molecule: transfer RNA, 56 nt
Filed under: Auriculastra duplicata
Lineage: Eukaryota; Metazoa; Mollusca; Gastropoda; Ellobiida; Ellobiidae
Description: tRNA-Ser
Source: RNAcentral
AUUUUUGUAUUAUAGGGAUUUUGAAAGUCUCUUUGGGCUAAAAUUAGCCACCUAGU